UACGUAGGGGGCAAGCGUUGUCCGGAUUCAUUGGGCGUAAAGAGCGUGUAGGCGGCCAGGUAGGUCGGUUGUGAAAACUGGAGGCUCAACCUUCAGAGGUCGACCGAAACCAUCUGGCUAGAGUCCGGGAGAGGAGAGUGGAAUUCCUGGUGUAGCGGUGAAAUGCGCAGAUAUCAGGAAGAACACCCGUGGCGAAAGCGGCUCUCUGGGACGGUACUGACGCUGAGACGCGAAAGCGUGGGGAGCGAACAGG
This 253-nucleotide ribosomal RNA is filed under the name uncultured bacterium. Its description in RNAcentral is "partial 16S ribosomal RNA". It matches the Rfam family "Bacterial small subunit ribosomal RNA", at positions 524 to 776 of the family's 1533-position model. The record is from RNAcentral.